UACGUAGGGCGCAAGCGUUGUCCGGAAUUAUUGGGCGUAAAGAGCUCGUAGGUGGCUUGUCACGUCGGGUGUGAAAGCUUGGGGCUUAACUCCAGGUCUGCAUUCGAUACGGGCUGACUAGAGUACGGCAGGGGAGACUGGAAUUCCUGGUGUAGCGGUGAAAUGCGCAGAUAUCAGGAGGAACACCGGUGGCGAAGGCGGGUCUCUGGGCCGAUACUGACGCUGAGGAGCGAAAGCGUGGGGAGCGAACAGG
Molecule: ribosomal RNA, 253 nt
Filed under: uncultured bacterium
Lineage: Bacteria
Description: partial 16S ribosomal RNA
Rfam family: Bacterial small subunit ribosomal RNA
Source: RNAcentral